AGCAAUAAUAGCUUAAAUAGAGCAUCGGUCUUGUAAGUCGAAGGUGAGUGAAUUCUCUUAUUGUUA
Molecule: transfer RNA, 66 nt
Filed under: Reticunassa hiradoensis
Lineage: Eukaryota; Metazoa; Mollusca; Gastropoda; Neogastropoda; Nassariidae
Description: tRNA-Thr
Rfam family: tRNA
About the family: Transfer RNA (tRNA) molecules are approximately 80 nucleotides in length. Their secondary structure includes four short double-helical elements and three loops (D, anti-codon, and T loops).
Source: RNAcentral